Molecule: long non-coding RNA, 661 nt
Organism: Felis catus (domestic cat)
Lineage: Eukaryota; Metazoa; Chordata; Mammalia; Carnivora; Felidae
Exons: 3
Source: RefSeq, a predicted model, not a curated record
UGACCCAAGCUGAAAUCAAGAGUCAGAUGCUCAACUGACUGAAUCACCCAGCCUUGCUGUGGCUGAGAGGUCUGUCAGAUGCAGCUCUGGCCUAUGCUUGAAGUGCUGCGUGCUGUGAAAAGUCCCACCUUGACCAGGUUCCUGGAGGGGUCAAGAAACACAUAUCAUCUGCGAACCCUUUCUCGGUCACAACUAAAGCCAGCUUGGCCUACCAAACCUUCUCCUACAUCUUGGACCCACCGGCAGGUCAGCUUCCAACUAGGACAAUCUGGGUGACAGUCCUCAAUCGGAAAGGACUGGAGAGGUCUUGUGGUCCCUUCAUUACAGAGGUUCCACGGCUUGGCAUGGUCACCCAGCUGGCCAGAGGCAGACCCUCUUCAUGUCCCAGCCCAAGGAUGCUUUAUGGAAAGGACACUGCUCGUCAACUGACCUGGACGGCCUUCAGACCACAGGGCCCGCCAUGAGAGGCGUAUGGAUGGCGAAACUGACCGGCUGUGGGUUAACGGCUGGGGAAGUUGCAUGCCUCCCCCCUACAGCCUCUGACGACUCUUCCUCUCCAGGCUGCAACAUCUGUUCAUAUGGCCACCCCUGGCUGCUCCAGCCUGUCCUGAACCUUCCCUGCCUCUUCCCUCAGCGUCGGAGCCCAUCUGUGUGUGUGAGC